Paramarasmius palmivorus is the source of this 82-nucleotide non-coding RNA. Lineage: Eukaryota; Fungi; Basidiomycota; Agaricomycetes; Agaricales; Marasmiaceae. The record is from the annotation of a GenBank genome assembly.
ACACCGUUGGUGAAGUGGUUAUCAUGCUUGCCUUCCAUUUGUCAGUUAGCAAGCGGCUCGGGUUCGAUUCCCGAACGGUGUA